AACGAACGCUGGCGGCAUGCCUAACACAUGCAAGUCGAACGAGACCUUCGGGUCUAGUGGCGCACGGGUGCGUAACGCGUGGGAACUUGCUCUUCUGUUCCGGAUAACUCCACGAAAGGGGUGCUAAUACCGGAUUAUUUCUUCGGACCAAAGAUUUAUCGCCUUUGUUUUUGGGCACGUUGGAUUAGCUAGGUGGUUGGGUAGGAGCCUACCAAGGAGACGAUCCAUAGCUGGUCUGAGAGCAUGGUCAACAACACUGGGACUGGGACAUGGUCCAGAUUCCGCCGAGAGGCAGCAGUGGGGAAUAUUGGACGAUGGGCGAGAGCCUGAGCCAGCAAGGCCGCGUGAGUGAGGAAGGCCUUAGGGUUGUAAAGCUCGUUUACCCGGGAUGAUAAUGACGGUACCGUGAGAAUAAGCACCGGCUAACUCCGUG
Molecule: ribosomal RNA, 433 nt
Filed under: uncultured bacterium
Lineage: Bacteria
Description: partial 16S ribosomal RNA
Rfam family: Bacterial small subunit ribosomal RNA
Source: RNAcentral